AUUGAACGCUGGCGGCAGGCCUAACACAUGCAAGUCGGACGGUAGCACAGAGGAGCUUGCUCUUCGGGUGACGAGUGGCGGACGGGUGAGUAAUGUCUGGGGAUCUGCCCGAUAGAGGGGGAUAACCACUGGAAACGGUGGCUAAUACCGCAUAACGUCGCAAGACCAAAGAGGGGGACCUUCGGGCCUCUCACUAUCGGAUGAACCCAGAUGGGAUUAGCUAGUAGGCGGGGUAACGGCCCACCUAGGCGACGAUCCCUAGCUGGUCUGAGGGGAUGACCAGCCACACUGGAACUGAGACACGGUCCAGACUCCUACGGGAGGCAGCAGUGGGGAAUAUUGCACAAUGGGCGCAAGCCUGAUGCAGCCAUGCCGCGUGUAUGAAGAAGGCCUUCGGGUUGUAAAGUACUUUCAGCGGGGAGGAAGGCGAUGUGGUUAAUAACCGCGUCGAUUGACGUUACCCGCAGAAGAAGCACCGGCUAACUCCGUGCCAGCCGCCGCCGCGG
This 506-nucleotide ribosomal RNA is filed under the name uncultured bacterium. RNAcentral describes it as "partial 16S ribosomal RNA". It matches the Rfam family "Bacterial small subunit ribosomal RNA", at positions 29 to 523 of the family's 1533-position model. The record is from RNAcentral.